Molecule: ribosomal RNA, 497 nt
Filed under: uncultured bacterium
Lineage: Bacteria
Description: partial 16S ribosomal RNA
Rfam family: Bacterial small subunit ribosomal RNA
Source: RNAcentral
GAUGAACGCUGGCGGCGUGCCUAAUACAUGCAAGUCGAGCGAACAGACGGGGAGCUUGCUCCUCUGACGUUAGCGGCGGACGGGUGAGUAACACGUGGAUACCCUACCUAUAAGACUGGGAUAACUUCGGGAAACCGGAGCUACUACCGGAUAAUAUAUUGAACCGCAUGGUUCAAUAGUGAAAGACGGUUUUGCUGUCACUUAUAGGUGGAUCCACGCCGCAUUAGCUUGUUGGGAAGGUAACGGCUUAGCAAGGCAACGAUGCGUAGCCGACCGGAGAGGGUGAGCGGCCACACAGACACUGAGACACGGUCCAGACUCCUACGGGAGGCAGCAGUAGGGAAUCUUCCGCAAUGGGAGAAAGCCUGACGGAGCAACGCCGCGUGAGUGAUGAAGGUCUUCGGCUCGUAAAACUCUGUUAUUAGGGAAGAACAAAUGUGUAAGUAACUAUGCACGUCUUGACGGUACCUAAUCAGAAAGCCACGGCUAACUACGUG